AUGAUAUCUCAUUUCAAUAAUAGAAACCAUAUAGACAGUAACGAAAGACCAGUAACAAAUUUAAUUACAAUGAAGUUGAGAUCAAGUUUACCGGAUUUCUUAAAACUAAAAACAAAGGCAAGAACAAUCCAACUCAAUAUCGAAAGAAUCCUCGUCCAACCAAAAAUAACACACAAAUAG
This is a non-coding RNA of Vicia faba (fava bean), 180 nucleotides long. The record is from the annotation of a GenBank genome assembly. Lineage: Eukaryota; Viridiplantae; Streptophyta; Magnoliopsida; Fabales; Fabaceae.